GUAGGGUGGGCAAGCGUUGUCCGGAAUUAUUGGGCGUAAAGCGCGCGCAGGCGGUCCUUUAAGUCUGAUGUGAAAGCCCACGGCUCAACCGUGGAGGGUCAUUGGAAACUGGGGGACUUGAGUACAGAAGAGGAAAGCGGAAUUCCAAGUGUAGCGGUGAAAUGCGUAGAGAUUUGGAGGAACACCAGUGGCGAAGGCGGCUUUCUGGUCUGUAACUGACGCUGAGGCGCGAAAGCGUGGGGAGCAAACAGGAUUAGAUACCCUGGUAGUCCACGCCGUAAACGAUGAGUGCUAAGUGUUAGGGGGGUUUCCGCCCCUUAGUGCUGCAGCUAACGCAUUAAGCACUCCGCCUGGGGAGUACGGCCGCAAGGCUG
RNAcentral lists this ribosomal RNA (374 nucleotides) under uncultured organism. Its description in RNAcentral is "partial 16S ribosomal RNA". It matches the Rfam family "Bacterial small subunit ribosomal RNA", at positions 525 to 896 of the family's 1533-position model. The record is from RNAcentral.